CCUACGGGAGGCUGCAGUGGGGAAUAUUGGGCAAUGGGCGCAAGCCUGACCCAGCAACGCCGCGUGAAGGAAGAAGGCUUUCGGGUUGUAAACUUCUUUUCUCAGGGACGAAGCAAGUGACGGUACCUGAGGAAUAAGCCCCGGCUAACUACGUGCCAGCAGCCGCGGUAAUACGUAGGUGGCAAGCGUUAUCCGGAGUCAUUGGGCCUAACGGGAGCGUAGGCGGGCGUUCAAGUCAGCUGUAAAAUCGCGCGGCUCAACCGCUCCCCGCAGUUGAAAAUGGACGCCUUGAGUUCACAACAGGCAGGCGGAAUGCGGGGUGUAGCGGGGAAAUGCAUAGAUAUCACGAGGAACCCCGAUUGCGAAGGCAGCCUGCCGGGGUGCGACUGACGCUGAGGCUCGAAGGUGCGGGUAUCAAACAGGAUUAGAUACCCUUGUAGUC
RNAcentral lists this ribosomal RNA (442 nucleotides) under uncultured bacterium. RNAcentral's name for it is "partial 16S ribosomal RNA". It matches the Rfam family "Bacterial small subunit ribosomal RNA", at positions 338 to 795 of the family's 1533-position model. The record is from RNAcentral.